Molecule: non-coding RNA, 253 nt
Filed under: uncultured bacterium
Lineage: Bacteria
Also listed under: 1 other name
Description: partial 16S ribosomal RNA
Rfam family: Bacterial small subunit ribosomal RNA
Source: RNAcentral
UACGUAGGGGGCAAGCGUUGUCCGGAAUCAUUGGGCGUAAAGCGAGCGUAGGCGGCCCGAUAAGUCUGCUGUGAAAGUCAACGGCUCAACCGUUGAAAGCCGGUGGAUACUGUCGGGCUAGAGUUCGGAAGAGGCAAGUGGAAUUCCUGGUGUAGCGGUGGAAUGCGCAGAUAUCAGGAGGAACACCCAUAGCGAAGGCAGCUUGCUGGGACGAUACUGACGCUAAGGCUCGAAAGCGUGGGGAGCAAACAGG